AUAAGGUUAAGUGAAUAAGGGCGCACGGUGGAUGCCUUGGCACUAGGAGCCGAUGAAGGACGGGACUAACACCGAUAUGCUUUGGGGAGCUGUACGUAAGCUAUGAUCCAGAGAUUUCCGAAUGGGGAAACCCAGCAUCUUUUAUAGGAUGUUACGUUUGCGUGAAUACAUAGCGCAUUCGAGGUAGACGCAGAGAACUGAAACAUCUAAGUACCUGCAGGAAGAGAAAGAAAAUUCGAUUCCCUGAGUAGCGGCGAGCGAAACGGGAAAAGCCCAAACCAAUGAGCUUGCUCAUUGGGGUUGUAGGACUCCAAUAUGGUAGUUCUUUCAGAUAAUCGAAUGACUUGGAAAAGUCAGUCAAAGAGGGUAAAAACCCCGUAGAUGAAAUUUGGAAGGCACCUAGGAGGAUCCUGAGUACGGCGGAACACGAGGAAUUCCGUCGGAAUCCGGGAGGACCAUCUCCCAAGGCUAAAUACUCCCUAGUGACCGAUAGUGAACCAGUACCGUGAGGGAAAGGUGAAAAGCACCCCGGAAGGGGAGUGAAAUAGAACCUGAAACCGUGUGCCUACAACAAGUCAAAGCCCGUUAAUGGGUGAUGGCGUGCCUUUUGUAGAAUGAACCGGCGAGUUACGAUUGCAUGCGAGGUUAAGUCGAAGAGACGGAGCCGCAGCGAAAGCGAGUCUGAAUAGGGCGUUUGAGUAUGUAGUCGUAGACCCGAAACCAUGUGAUCUACCCAUGUCCAGGUUGAAGGUGCGGUAAAACGCACUGGAGGACCGAACCCACGUACGUUGAAAAGUGCGGGGAUGAGGUGUGGGUAGCGGAGAAAUUCCAAACGAACUUGGAGAUAGCUGGUUCUCUCCGAAAUAGCUUUAGGGCUAGCCUCGGAUUUGAGAAUGAUGGAGGUAGAGCACUGUUUGGACUAGGGGCCCAUCUCGGGUUACCGAAUUCAGAUAAACUCCGAAUGCCAUUCAUUCAUAUCCGGGAGUCAGACUGUGAGUGAUAAGAUCCAUAGUCGAAAGGGAAACAGCCCAGACCACCAGCUAAGGUCCCAAAAUAUAUGUUAAGUGGAAAAGGAUGUGGGGUUGCACAGACAACUAGGAUGUUGGCUCAGAAGCAGCCACCAUUUAAAGAGUGCGUAAUAGCUCACUAGUCGAGUGACCCUGCGCCGAAAAUGUACCGGGGCUAAACAUAUUACCGAAGCUGUGGAGUACACCAUGAGGUGUAUUGGUAGGAGAGCGUUCUAAGGGCGUUGAAGGCAGAUCGUGAGGACUGCUGGAGCGCUUAGAAGUGAGAAUGCCGGUAUGAGUAGCGAAAGACAGGUGAGAAUCCUGUCCACCGAAUGACUAAGGUUUCCUGGGGAAGGCUCGUCCGCCCAGGGUUAGUCGGGACCUAAGCCGAGGCCGACAGGCGUAGGCGAUGGACAACAGGUUGAUAUUCCUGUACUCGUUGUUUUUGUUUGAGCAAUGGAGGGACGCAGGAGGCUAAGGAAUGCAGACGAUCGGAAAUGUCUGUCCAAGCAGUAAGUCUUGAUAGGAGUCAAAUGCUUCUGUCUAUACGGAUAAGCUGUGAUGGGGAGGGAAAUAAUAGUACCGAAGUUCCUGAUGUCACACUGCCAAGAAAAGCUUCUAGUGAGAAAACAAUGACCCGUACCGCAAACCGACACAGGUAGUCGAGGAGAGAAUCCUAAGGUGAGCGAGAGAACUCUCGUUAAGGAACUCGGCAAAAUGACCCCGUAACUUCGGGAGAAGGGGUGCUGAUCUUCGAUCAGCCGCAGUGAAUAGGCCCAAGCGACUGUUUAUCAAAAACACAGGUCUCUGCAAAAUCGUAAGAUGAAGUAUAGGGGCUGACGCCUGCCCGGUGCUGGAAGGUUAAGAGGAGUGCUUAGCGUAAGCGAAGGUACGAAUUGAAGCCCCAGUAAACGGCGGCCGUAACUAUAACGGUCCUAAGGUAGCGAAAUUCCUUGUCGGGUAAGUUCCGACCCGCACGAAAGGCGUAACGAUUUGGGCACUGUCUCAACGAGAGACUCGGUGAAAUUUUAGUACCUGUGAAGAUGCAGGUUACCCGCGACAGGACGGAAAGACCCCAUGGAGCUUUACUGUAGUUUGAUAUUGAGUGUCUGUACCGCAUGUACAGGAUAGGUAGGAGCCGUAGAAAUCGGAACGCUAGUUUCGAUGGAGGCGCUGGUGGGAUACUACCCCUGCGUUAUGGCCACUCUAACCCGCACCACUGAUCGUGGUGGGAGACAGUGUCAGAUGGGCAGUUUGACUGGGGCGGUCGCCUCCUAAAAGGUAACGGAGGCGCCCAAAGGUUCCCUCAGAAUGGUUGGAAAUCAUUCGAAGAGUGUAAAGGCAGAAGGGAGCUUGACUGCGAGACCAACAAGUCGAGCAGGGACGAAAGUCGGGCUUAGUGAUCCGGUGGUUCCGCAUGGAAGGGCCAUCGCUCAACGGAUAAAAGCUACCCUGGGGAUAACAGGCUUAUCUCCCCCAAGAGUCCACAUCGACGGGGAGGUUUGGCACCUCGAUGUCGGCUCGUCGCAUCCUGGGGCUGUAGUCGGUCCCAAGGGUUGGGCUGUUCGCCCAUUAAAGCGGCACGCGAGCUGGGUUCAGAACGUCGUGAGACAGUUCGGUCCCUAUCCGUCGCGGGCGUUGGAAAUUUGAGAGGAGCUGUCCUUAGUACGAGAGGACCGGGAUGGACUUACCGCUGGUGUACCAGUUGUUCUGCCAAGGGCAUUGCUGGGUAGCUAUGUAGGGAAGGGAUAAACGCUGAAAGCAUCUAAGUGUGAAGCCCACCUCAAGAUGAGAUUUCCCAUUUCUUUAAGAAAGUAAGAUCCCUGAGAGAUGAUCAGGUAGAUAGGUCAGGAGUGGAAGGCCAGUGAUGGUUGGAGCGGACUGAUACUAAUCGAUCGAGGACUUAACCAAA
RNAcentral lists this ribosomal RNA (2919 nucleotides) under Enterococcus durans. RNAcentral describes it as "23S ribosomal RNA". It matches the Rfam family "Bacterial large subunit ribosomal RNA". Lineage: Bacteria; Bacillati; Bacillota; Bacilli; Lactobacillales; Enterococcaceae. The record is from RNAcentral.